Non-coding RNA from Phthorimaea operculella (potato tuberworm), 68 nucleotides. NCBI's taxonomy places the organism in Eukaryota, Metazoa, Arthropoda, Insecta, Lepidoptera, Gelechiidae. The record is from the annotation of a GenBank genome assembly.
GAUGUGGCACAGUGGUAGUGCGACUACAUGCAACGCAGAAGGUUCCGGAUUCAAUUCUCGGUGGGUCA